Molecule: ribosomal RNA, 253 nt
Filed under: uncultured bacterium
Lineage: Bacteria
Description: partial 16S ribosomal RNA
Rfam family: Bacterial small subunit ribosomal RNA
Source: RNAcentral
UACGGGGGGUGCGAGCGUUGUCCGGAAUCACUGGGCGUAAAGGGCGCGUAGGUGGUUUGAUAAGGGUGUGGUGAAAGUCCAGAGCUCAACUCCGGAUCUGCCGUGCCGACUGUCAAACUCGAGGGCUGUAGAGGCAGACGGAAUUCCGGGUGUAGCGGUGGAAUGCGUAGAGAUCCGGAGGAAGACCGGUGGCGAAGGCGGUCUGCUGGGCAGUUUCUGACACUGAGGCGCGACAGCGUGGGGAGCAAACAGG